UUGAACGCUGGCGGCAUGCCUUACACAUGCAAGUCGAACGGCAGCACGGGUGCUUGCACCUGGUGGCGAGUGGCGAACGGGUGAGUAAUACAUCGGAACAUGUCCUGUAGUGGGGGAUAGCCCGGCGAAAGCCGGAUUAAUACCGCAUACGAUCUACGGAUGAAAGCGGGGGACCUUCGGGCCUCGCGCUAUAGGGUUGGCCGAUGGCUGAUUAGCUAGUUGGUGGGGUAAAGGCCUACCAAGGCGACGAUCAGUAGCUGGUCUGAGAGGACGACCAGCCACACUGGGACUGAGACACGGCCCAGACUCCUACGGGAGGCAGCAGUGGGGAAUUUUGGACAAUGGGCGAAAGCCUGAUCCAGCAAUGCCGCGUGUGUGAAGAAGGCCUUCGGGUUGUAAAGCACUUUUGUCCGGAAAGAAAUCCUUGGCUCUAAUACAGUCGGGGGAUGACGGUACCGGAAGAAUAAGCACCGGCUAACUACGUGCCAGCAGCCGCGGUAAUACGUAGGGUGCGAGCGUUAAUCGGAAUUACUGGGCGUAAAGCGUGCGCAGGCGGUUUGCUAAGACCGAUGUGAAAUCCCCGGGCUCAACCUGGGAACUGCAUUGGUGACUGGCAGGCUAGAGUAUGGCAGAGGGGGGUAGAAUUCCACGUGUAGCAGUGAAAUGCGUAGAGAUGUGGAGGAAUACCGAUGGCGAAGGCAGCCCCCUGGGCCAAUACUGACGCUCAUGCACGAAAGCGUGGGGAGCAAACAGGAUUAGAUACCCUGGUAGUCCACGCCCUAAACGAUGUCAACUAGUUGUUGGGGAUUCAUUUCCUUAGUAACGUAGCUAACGCGUGAAGUUGACCGCCUGGGGAGUACGGUCGCAAGAUUAAAACUCAAAGGAAUUGACGGGGACCCGCACAAGCGGUGGAUGAUGUGGAUUAAUUCGAUGCAACGCGAAAAACCUUACCUACCCUUGACAUGGUCGGAAUCCCGCUGAGAGGUGGGAGUGCUCGAAAGAGAACCGGCGCACAGGUGCUGCAUGGCUGUCGUCAGCUCGUGUCGUGAGAUGUUGGGUUAAGUCCCGCAACGAGCGCAACCCUUGUCCUUAGUUGCUACGCAAGAGCACUCUAAGGAGACUGCCGGUGACAAACCGGAGGAAGGUGGGGAUGACGUCAAGUCCUCAUGACCCUUAUGGGUAGGGCUUCACACGUCAUACAAUGGUCGGAACAGAGGGUUGCCAACCCGCGAGGGGGAGCUAAUCCCAGAAAACCGAUCGUAGUCCGGAUUGCACUCUGCAACUCGAGUGCAUGAAGCUGGAAUCGCUAGUAAUCGCGGAUCAGCAUGCCGCGGUGAAUACGUUGCCGGGUCUUGUACACACCGCCC
This 1367-nucleotide ribosomal RNA is filed under the name uncultured beta proteobacterium. RNAcentral describes it as "bacterial SSU rRNA". It matches the Rfam family "Bacterial small subunit ribosomal RNA", at positions 29 to 1395 of the family's 1533-position model. Lineage: Bacteria; Pseudomonadati; Pseudomonadota; Betaproteobacteria. The record is from RNAcentral.